RNAcentral lists this ribosomal RNA (447 nucleotides) under uncultured bacterium. RNAcentral describes it as "bacterial SSU rRNA". It matches the Rfam family "Bacterial small subunit ribosomal RNA", at positions 331 to 792 of the family's 1533-position model. The record is from RNAcentral.
CCAGACUCCUACGGGAGGCAGCAGUGGGGAAUAUUGCACAAUGGGCGAAAGCCUGAUGCAGCAACGCCGCGUGAAGGAAGAAGGGUUUCGGCUCGUAAACUUCUAUCAACAGGGACGAAAGAAAUGACGGUACCUGAAUAAGAAGCCCCGGCUAACUACGUGCCAGCAGCCGCGGUAAUACGUAGGGGGCAAGCGUUAUCCGGAAUUACUGGGUGUAAAGGGUGAGUAGGCGGCAUGGUAAGCCAGAUGUGAAAGCCUGGGGCUUAACCCGAGGAUUGCAUUUGGAACUAUCAAGCUGGAGUACAGGAGAGGAAAGCGGAAUUCCUAGCGUAGCGGUGAAAUGCGUAGAUAUUAGGAGGAACACCAGUGGCGAAGGCGGCUUUCUGGACAAUAACUGACGUUGAGGCACGAAAGUGUGGGGAGCAAACAGGAUUAGAUACCCGGGUA